GGGGAUGUGGCUCAGUUGGUAGGGUGCUUGCCUGGCAUGCAUGAAGCACUAGGUUUAUCCCUG
RNAcentral lists this transfer RNA (63 nucleotides) under Neotoma lepida (desert woodrat). It matches the Rfam family "tRNA". Rfam says of the family: Transfer RNA (tRNA) molecules are approximately 80 nucleotides in length. Their secondary structure includes four short double-helical elements and three loops (D, anti-codon, and T loops). Further hydrogen bonds mediate the characteristic L-shaped molecular structure. tRNAs have two regions of fundamental functional importance: the anti-codon, which is responsible for specific mRNA codon recognition, and the 3' end, to which the tRNAs corresponding amino acid is attached (by aminoacyl-tRNA synthetases). tRNAs cope with the degeneracy of the genetic code in two manners: having more than one tRNA (with a specific anti-codon) for a particular amino acid; and 'wobble' base-pairing, i.e. permitting non-standard base-pairing at the 3rd anti-codon position. The record is from Rfam by way of RNAcentral. Lineage: Eukaryota; Metazoa; Chordata; Mammalia; Rodentia; Cricetidae.